Molecule: ribosomal RNA, 466 nt
Filed under: uncultured bacterium
Lineage: Bacteria
Description: partial 16S ribosomal RNA
Rfam family: Bacterial small subunit ribosomal RNA
Source: RNAcentral
GACGAACGCUGGCGGUGUGCUUAACACAUGCAAGUCGAACGGUAAGGCCCUUUCGGGGGUACACGAGUGGCGAACGGGUGAGUAACACGUGAGUAACCUGCCCUCAUCUCUGGGAUAACAGUCGGAAACGGUUGCUAAUACUGGAUAUGAGCUUGCAAGGCAUCUUGUGGGUUGGAAAGAUUUUUUUGGUUGGGGAUGGACUCGCGGCCUAUCAGCUUGUUGGUGAGAUAGUGGCUCACCAAGGCUUCGACGGGUAGCCGGCCUGAGAGGGCGACCGGCCACAUUGGGACUGAGAUACGGCCCAAACUCCUACGGGAGGCAGCAGUGGGGAAUAUUGCACAAUGGACGGAAGUCUGAUGCAGCAACGCCGCGUGCGGGAUGACGGCCUUCGGGUUGUAAACCGCUUUCAAUUGUGACGAAGCUUUUUGUGACGGUAGCAGUAGAAGAAGCACCGGCUAACUACGUG